GAUGAACGCUAGCUACAGGCUUAACACAUGCAAGUCGAGGGGAAACGGCAUUGAGUGCUUGCACUCUUUGGACGUCGACCGGCGCACGGGUGAGUAACGCGUAUCCAACCUUCCCAUUACUGUGGGAUAACCUGCCGAAAGGCAGACUAAUACCGCAUAGUCUUCGUUGACGGCAUCAGAUAUGAAGUAAAGAUUUAUCGGUAAUGGAUGGGGAUGCGUCUGAUUAGCUUGUUGGCGGGGUAACGGCCCACCAAGGCGACGAUCAGUAGGGGUUCUGAGAGGAAGGUCCCCCACAUUGGAACUGAGACACGGUCCAAACUCCUACGGGAGGCAGCAGUGAGGAAUAUUGGUCAAUGGACGUAAGUCUGAACCAGCCAAGUAGCGUGCAGGAUGACGGCCCUAUGGGUUGUAAACUGCUUUUGUAUGGGGAUAAAGUCAAUCACGUGUGAUUGUUUGCAGGUACCAUACGAAUAAGGACCGGCUAAUUCCGUGCCAGCAGCCGCGGUAAUACGGAAGGUCCAGGCGUUAUCCGGAUUUAUUGGGUUUAAAGGGAGCGUAGGCCGGAGAUUAAGUGUGUUGUGAAAUGUAGACGCUCAACGUCUGACUUUGCAGCGCAUACUGGCUUCCUUGAGUACGCACAACGUUGGGCGGAAUUCGUCGUGUAGCGGUGAAAUGCUUAGAUAUGACGAAAGAACUCCGAUUGCGAAGGCAGCUGACGGGAGCGCAACUGACGCUUAAAGCUCGAAGGUGCGGGUAUCAAACAGG
RNAcentral lists this ribosomal RNA (765 nucleotides) under Prevotella melaninogenica. Its description in RNAcentral is "bacterial SSU rRNA". It matches the Rfam family "Bacterial small subunit ribosomal RNA", at positions 28 to 776 of the family's 1533-position model. The record is from RNAcentral. Lineage: Bacteria; Pseudomonadati; Bacteroidota; Bacteroidia; Bacteroidales; Prevotellaceae.